AGCCCUAGAAAAUAUCUGAGGUGUAACCUGCCCAUUGGUCUUAAAUUUAAAACAAAAAAAAGUUGUUUAAUAAGACUUAAAGGACGCGGUAACCUUGACCGUGAUAAUGUAGCAUAAUCACUCCCCACUUAAUUGGUGGAUAGUAUGAAUGGUUGAACGAAUAUUCCACUGUCUUAAAGAGAAAUUAACAAAAAUUAAAAUAAUAGUUAAGAUACUAUUUUAAGUUGUAAGACGAAAAGACCCUAUAGAGCUUAACUAUUCUCUUUUUAAUAUAAACAAAAAGAGAGGUAGUUUAAUUGGGGCGAUUAUCUUCUAAAAGUAACGAAGACGAGUAUAAUUAAUAAAAAAUAAUUGUUUAAUUAAUAAAUUUAACAAAUACUAAAGUAGACUAUAAUGACCCGUUAUAUAUUGAUAAAAAUUAUAACGAUCAACAAAUAAAAGCUACCUUAGGGAUAACAGGAUAAUUUCAUUUUAGAGAUCUUAUCGAAAAUGAAGUUUGUCACCUCUAUGUUGAAUUAAGACAUCCUGAUAAUGCAGAAGUUAUCGAAGGUAGGUCUGUUCGACCUUUAAAGUCUUA
Molecule: ribosomal RNA, 577 nt
Filed under: Halecium halecinum
Lineage: Eukaryota; Metazoa; Cnidaria; Hydrozoa; Leptothecata; Haleciidae
Description: partial 16S ribosomal RNA
Rfam family: Bacterial large subunit ribosomal RNA
Source: RNAcentral